Long non-coding RNA from Juglans microcarpa x Juglans regia, 189 nucleotides. RefSeq lists it as uncharacterized. Lineage: Eukaryota; Viridiplantae; Streptophyta; Magnoliopsida; Fagales; Juglandaceae. The transcript has 3 exons. The record is from RefSeq and is a predicted model, not a curated record.
UCAUAGCGGGUCAUAACGGGUUGACUCGUUAGUGACCCGUUAAGCAAUCAUAUCUUAACGGGUCAACCCGUUUUGACCCGAACCCGUUAAGGUUAAACCCUAAUCCGCUUUUAUCGUGUCGUAUUCGUAUUGGGUUAACGGGACGUGUCACAUAUUACCACCCCUACUUAUGUCACACACCUACACCUA